Long non-coding RNA from Osmerus eperlanus (European smelt), 785 nucleotides. RefSeq lists it as uncharacterized. NCBI's taxonomy places the organism in Eukaryota, Metazoa, Chordata, Actinopteri, Osmeriformes, Osmeridae. The record is from RefSeq and is a predicted model, not a curated record. The transcript has 3 exons.
UACACUACUGUGGUUUUUGAAACUCAGAUGUUGUUGGGUGAAGAGAGUGAGAGGUUGGAGAGCAGUCAGGGAAAGCGCACGCGAGACGUGGCCGUUGGCAGACAGUCUCAAUGACUGUAAUGUCCCCGUGAGCGAACGUGCGGCAGUGUGAGGGAAGGGCAACCAGACACUGGAUUGUUGCUCCCGGGCUAGGAAUUAAUAUUUGAAAACAGUGUCCUUCAUUUUUUUUAGCUUCUGUUUUGUUUUUGUUUUGAACAAAAGGAAUAACAAGGGGAAUUUCCUUAUCACAGAUCGAAGCCAAUGUGGUGUUCAAAGAAAGCCAUUGGUCGAACUCUCCUGGCGACGUGUUACCAUGGUAAUCCCCGAGACUACAGGAGCCGGGUGUAGAGCGCUUCAAGGCAUCACAGCAACACAUUUGACCUAACUGACCAAAUACCUCAAGAACUGUUUCAUGAGAAAGAGACACAGCAUAGCAACUUGGCAACUGUGCAACAUGUGAAGAACCAAACUAUGGGAUUAGCCUGAGGAAAAACAAAUAUUACGUAGAGAAGGGAAGAAACUCUGUGUCCAUCUCCCCCGCUGCUGUCAUCCAGAGAUCCCUGUGAAGAUGCCUGACAGAGGAAGCCCUGCAGACCAGUCAACAUGAACCCCUAUAUUACCUCUCACUUUAGGAGGGACCUCUUUCCUCACUUCCAUUUGUUGUAGACUGACCCGUUCUGUUUGUCUCCUCCCUGCUGCCGUAGCUGUGUUGUUUCACGCUCAGACACCCCGUCUGAGAGUCUGAG